This 74-nucleotide transfer RNA is filed under the name Minisyncoccia bacterium. RNAcentral describes it as "tRNA-Gln". It matches the Rfam family "tRNA". Rfam says of the family: Transfer RNA (tRNA) molecules are approximately 80 nucleotides in length. Their secondary structure includes four short double-helical elements and three loops (D, anti-codon, and T loops). The record is from RNAcentral. Lineage: Bacteria; Bacillati; Minisyncoccota; Minisyncoccia.
UGCCGAUUCGUCUAAUGGUAGGACGACCGCCUCUGGAGCGGUUAAUUGGGGUUCGAGUCCCUGAUCGGCAGCCA